Molecule: non-coding RNA, 48 nt
Filed under: Trichobilharzia regenti
Lineage: Eukaryota; Metazoa; Platyhelminthes; Trematoda; Strigeidida; Schistosomatidae
Source: RNAcentral
AUUCAGCUGACGAGUCCCAACUAGGAUGAAAUGCGCAUCAAGAUGGAU